Molecule: ribosomal RNA, 960 nt
Filed under: Pseudomonas aeruginosa
Lineage: Bacteria; Pseudomonadati; Pseudomonadota; Gammaproteobacteria; Pseudomonadales; Pseudomonadaceae
Description: bacterial SSU rRNA
Rfam family: Bacterial small subunit ribosomal RNA
Source: RNAcentral
CUUGCUCCUGGAUUCGACGGCGGACGGAUGAGUAAUGCCUAUGAAUCUGCCUGGUAGUGGGGGAUAACGUCCGGAAGCGGGCGCUAAUACCGCACACGUCCUGAGGGAGAAAGUGGGGGAUCUUCGGACCUCCCUCUAUCAAAUGAACCUAGGUCGGAUUAACUAGUUGGUGGGGUAAAGGCCUACCAAGGCGACCAUCCAUACCUGGUUGGAGAGGAAGAUCAAUCACCCUGGAACUAAAACACAGUCCAUACUCCUACGGGAGGCAGCAGUGGGGAAUAUUUAACAAUGGGCGAAAGCCUGAUCCAUCCAUGCCGCGUGUGUGAAGAAGGUCUUCCUAUUGUAAAGCACUUUAUUUUGGGAGGAAGGGCGGUAUUUUAGUACCUUGCUGUUUUGAUUUCCUACAGAAAAGCACCGGCUACUUCGUGCCAGCAGCCGCGGUAAUACAAAGGGUGCUGCGUUAUCAGAAUUACUGGGGGUAAUCGGCGUAGGUGGUUCAUCAGGUUGGAGGUAAAAUCCCCGGGCUCACUCUGGGAGCUGCAUCCAAAACUACUGAGCUAGAUUACGGUAGAGGAUGGUGGAAUUUCCUGUGGAGCGGUGAAUUGCGUAAAUAUAGGUAAGGACACUAGUGGCUAAGGCAACCACCUGGAGUGAUACUGACACUGAUGUGCGACAACGUGGGGAGCAAACAACAUAAAUACCCUGGUAGUCCACGCCGUCAACGAUGUCGACUAGCUGUUGGGAUCCUUCAGAUCUUAGUGGCGCACCUAACACAAAUAUUCAACCGCCUGGGGAGUACGGCCGCACGGUGAAACUCCGUGAAUUAACUGGGGCCGCACAACGGUCGAGCAGUGUUUUUUUCUAUCACGCAAAGACCAUACCUGCCUGAAUACUGAGACUUUCAAAAAGAUUGUGCCUCGCACUAGACAAGUCUGCUGGUGUGUCACUCGGCUUAGAAUU